Molecule: unclassified non-coding RNA, 354 nt
Filed under: soil metagenome
Description: partial contains 5.8S ribosomal RNA, internal transcribed spacer 2, and large subunit ribosomal RNA
Rfam family: 5.8S ribosomal RNA (bases 1-120)
Source: RNAcentral
GAUGAAGAACGCAGCGAAAUGCGAUAAGUAGUGUGAAUUGCAGAAUUCAGUGAAUCAUCGAAUCUUUGAACGCACAUUGCGCCUCCUGGUAUUCCGGGAGGCAUGCCUGUUCGAGCGUCAUUAAAAUCACUCAAGCUUAGGUUUACCUAUUGCUUGGUCUUGGAGAUGGAAGCCAAUUCAUUGGAAUCCUCUUCGAAAUCCAAUGGCGAAGACCCUUGCUCUCCCAAGUGUAGUAAUAACUUAUGUCACUGAAGGAAGCGAGAAAUCUUCCGCCGUAACCCCCAUAUUUUCUAUGAUUGACCUCGGAUCAAGUAGGGAUACCCGCUGAACUUAAGCAUAUCAAUAAGCGGAGGA